RNAcentral lists this ribosomal RNA (423 nucleotides) under Triticum aestivum (bread wheat). RNAcentral's name for it is "partial small subunit ribosomal RNA". Lineage: Eukaryota; Viridiplantae; Streptophyta; Magnoliopsida; Poales; Poaceae. The record is from RNAcentral.
AUGUUCUUUCUGCAAUUGCAGAGAAACUUACCGCACUUGUUCUUUUUAUGCCCGAUCACUAGGAUUGCCUGGCGAACAGUGGGGUCAGUACUAGGCACUGAUUUGUGCUCGAGUAAUCUUUGUCAAUUUUACUCUUUGUUUUAUGCAUAUUGUCCCAAAGGGGAGCGGUUCUACACCACUGGAUUGGCAGCUGUGUGCCGGGCCAUCUGGAACUGUAGAAACAGAGCCACCUUCGAGUUCAACAAACCUGCAUCUCCUUUUGAGAUUGUUUUUACAACGAGCAUUCACUUAUCUUAUUGGGCAGGGCUUCUGAAGGGCGGGGACCGGCUGGACCUAGAGAGAGGAGCGACCCUUCUGAAGGAGAACACUAAAAGCAUGAUGAGGAUCUGUGCGUCGGUUUGCCCAGAUGAGUCCCUGGAGUGA